This 460-nucleotide ribosomal RNA is filed under the name uncultured bacterium. Its description in RNAcentral is "partial 16S ribosomal RNA". It matches the Rfam family "Bacterial small subunit ribosomal RNA", at positions 338 to 795 of the family's 1533-position model. The record is from RNAcentral.
CCUACGGGAGGCAGCAGUGAGGAAUAUUGGUCAAUGGCCGGAAGGCUGAACCAGCCAUGCCGCGUGAAGGUCAGUGCCCUAUGGGCGUUAAACUUCUUUUGUGCGGGAGCAAUAAUGGUCACGUGUGGCCAGACGAGAGUACCGUACGAAUAAGCAUCGGCUAACUCCGUGCCAGCAGCCGCGGUAAUACGGGGGAUGCAAACGUUAUCCGGGUUUUAUGGGGUUAAAGGGUGCGUAAGCUGUGAGGUAAGUCAGCGGGGGAAUGCCCCCGGUCAACGGGGUGAAGUGCAAUUGAUACUGCCUUGCUGGAAGGCGGAUGCGGUGGGAGGAAUUUGUGGUGUAGCGGUGAAAUGCAUAGAUAGCACACAGAACACCGAUUGCGAAGGCAUCUCACGAAUCCGCGAUUGACGCUGAUGCACGAAAGCGUGGGUAUCAAACAGGAUUAGAUACCCCUGUAGUC